UACAUAAGGUGUUUCCAAUUCAUGAUGUUAGGUGAAGGGUCCUAGUGACACUUUUGGAUAAGCAGAAGUGCAUGAAAUAAACUCAGCAGGAUCUCUACUCUGUGGGCUCUUAAUGGCUCCAUGGUGUGUGGCUGUGCUUUCCCAGCUGCACAUUUAAUAACUUGUACAAUGACAUUUUGCUAAUGAAGUUCUUGUGGCCUGAUAUGUUCAAGUUUAAAAGGAAGUUUGACUUCCGGCUCUCUUUCACUUUUAAAAUAAGUGAAUGAAUUAUUUUUUAACCAGCAAGGAAUUGAUUUUUCCAGUGACUUCUAAACAGAAUCUCCUUACACCAGGUUGCAGAUGUACUCCUGGGCCCUUCGUGAAGUCUUUUUGAUGGUUUAACUAUGGUUUGCACACAAAGGUCAGACAGCAGGACUGUGGAGACCUCCAAUCUGGUCUAGGUAAUCUUUCCUUCUCGAAAAUUGUUGUGUUAGCCCAAACAAUGUGCAGUGGAGUCGACAUUCACACGUUACACAAAAUGUGAAAGAACCGAAGAUGCAAUUCAGCAGAACAGAGAAGCCUGGGGAAAAACCCGUUCUGAAGUCACAGCAGUAGAAAACUGUGAGCUAAAUUAAGAUAAAAUGAAAAAACAGGGAGUGACAAAAAAUAUUGCAGACAUCAUGAAGAUUAUCCACUCAUCUUGAAGAUUAACAGAAAAGAAAACAAACGUCAACACGCCACACUCUGGAGAUUUGAAGUACUGAAGCUUCAGGACUCAGUAUUCAGUUCCCACCGGAGAACUGGCUGUAUCACAUUGCAGUGACUCAUCCAGUGUCUGCCUUCCGCCUAUGGUCUGGUCUUCUUGAGGGCAGGGAAAAACCUCUUCUUAACCAUCUCUGCAGGCUCAUAAAGUCUUGGGAGAAUUAUACUGACUCGAUCAUUGUGGGUUGAUGAACUCAGCAAGUAUUUGAGAAGGUUGAUAUUCAAAAUAUCUAACAGGAAAAUAUGAUACAAAAUAAUUCUUCUAUGAAAUUCUAUUUCUGUGAACAGCAAUGAGUCUUCAUACUGGUAACUUGUAAGAUAUAUCAACUUCUGCUUUUCCUGCCACUGAUUUUGGCCUCAAAUCCUUUUCUGUGGCCUCAGUUGCCUUUCUAUAGGAAGAAAAGACAGUAUAGGUACAUUAUGUCAUCAUGGUGUUUUGUUUACUCAAACCUAAUUCCAUGGAGUCUUUGCCCUCAGGCUAGACACUUCGACAAGCCAGCUACCAGCUGUGACUAAAUCUAGCCAUUCCUCUUGACCUUUCUCAUUAGAGGCCAAGAGCAGAAAAGAACGUUCUCUCUCCCACAUCCAAGGAUCACUUUAUUUUAUGCCCAGGGUGAUUGACAUAUCAUUCAGGAGAAACCAUAAUGGAUACAUUACCAAUUUUAAUUAAUUCACUAGGCAUAUAAAUAAGUGAGUUCAAGGUCUUAUACCUUUGAAACAUUUUUCAACAAAUAAUUUUAAAAAUUAUUAAAAAUUUUUUCGAAGGGCCCUAUGUCUCAACUUUUAGUUCAUACAAUAUGAUAUUUUUAAUUCAGGCCAUUCACAAGUAUUGUUAUUAUUUUAUUUGCUGUAUGCUUAUUUAUUUCUGUGCCCACCCUCAAUCAAAUGUGAACUUCAUGAGGCCAGAGACCUAUCAGAGACCUCCUGACCUACGCAGUAGACCCGUCCUCUAUUGUAUACUCAAGCCUAGCACAGUGCCAGACACCUAAAAUGUGCUCAACAUCUGUCAAGUGUACAGAAUUACCUCCAGUCUUUAUAACAAUCUUAAAAGUUGGGUAGUAUUAUCUUUUGUUUUCAGAGGGGACAAUCGAGCUUCAGAGAAAGGACAUCUCUAAGGUAGUGAAACUGAGAUAUUAUUUUAAAUCUUGCAUUGUUUUCUUAUCCUGGUGUACAUGGUUAAUAAUGUUGCAUCACUCUCACCAUCAAAGCUUGGUGAAUAAUCAGUGAUUGCAAUUUUCUCUAUCUCUGGUUGGUUUUUCCACAGUGAUUAGCCAUACAACCUUUUAGGAAAAAAAGCAUGCUUACUUCUCUAGGGUGCAAGUCUUCAGGGAUCAGAGAGGAAAUCUCAAGCAACAGGUAGAUGGUGGAAGAUAUGAACAAGAAAAAUUAAAAUAAGAAAUAUUGGAAGAAAAAAUAGGACACCAUCAGAAUAUGUAGGAUAAAUGACUAUGGAUACCUCACUAGCAGAAAGAUAUGCAAUUCCCUGACAUUUAUAGCUAAUUUCCCUUGAUUUUUAGGAGAGUCUCUAGAAAGAGAUUCUGGGUAUACAUUCUCAUAGUGUUUUAGUCACAGACAAGAACGAUCUUUAAGAAGAGGAUGUUAUGUAUUAGACCACAUUCCAAAUGGAGGUCUGUUAGGAAAACAAAAUUAGGAGACACGUCUUCCAUUCAAAUUUAUCAAGACUAUUGGUACAGCUCUGCCUUGAUCACUGGAACUCUACACUGAAAGCAGGAGCUUUUUCCAGUGUGCCCUCUGGAAUAUAUACUGUUUGUUAUAUGAUUUUAGAGGCACCCUUUUUGAUGCUUCAAUUUUUACAGCAGCAAAAGCAAGCCUAGAUAUAAAGAAAUCUGCUGAAUAUGAAUAAACCUUGCUAUAGACAUUAGGUCUAUGCCUAUUAAGAUCCUAAAACUUCAACAAAUUGAAAGCAGAUUGUCUAUGAACCAAGUAAUAUGAUGAUGCCAAAGUGUGGAAUUUUCUGAAAAAAAAAAAAUAGACCAGCUUUUUCUUGUAACUGCUUAAUUUCAAGCCAAAAUGCAGAUGAUAUAGAUAGGUUGGCACAUUUGCUCAAAAUGUUAAAGAAAUUUUGGUAUGUCUGGCUGAAAGCUGACUACAUCACCAUUCAGCCGUUCUCCUGAAAGACACUUAGGUUUUAUGGUCUUUUGGGUCUAAAAUUAUUUGAUCUUGUGAUUUGGGUUCAUAUACUUAGUGGAAAAGCUUUCACUGAGUUCAAAAAGGAAAUCAAAUCUGGUCGAUGCCAAAAGAAAAUGCAAGGUGAUGACUAAUGACACUUCCAUUCUCCUUUUCUCUGCUCUGGCCAAGAACAUCAACUCCUGAUUUCAUCAUGGAUGGUGUAGCCAGGAAGGUUGGAUUUGAAUGCUUGUCCUCAUGGAAGUGAGAUAAAAAAAAUAUGGAUAUCCUUGACUACAUGGACGACUUAAACACACGAUGGGAAUACAUUCAUACCCACCCAUCAUCUCCCUGGCAAGAUGAGUUCUCCAGAGUUGCGUUGGAUCGGAAGGCAACUUAGACAUAAACAGUGAAAGGAGUAAUUCCAAGGGCCUGCACACUUAAAAUAAAAUUCAUCUUUGUGGAUGUGAAUGUUUAGCUGUGUUUCCAUGAAUCCAAGUUUGAAUAGGUCCUUGGCUAGCAUUCGCCACCAGGGCUGCAAGGUAUACUUUUUCUUAUCCAUAAGAGGUGAUGAAAAGCAUUUUGCAUUAUAUGCCAACAUAGCUAAUAAAUAAUCACAAAUCCCUAUUAAAAGAAAGGUUAAAAAGCAAACAAGUGAGGAGACUAGUUGGUUACUUUAGCAAUAAACUUGGAGAUAAAUGAUGGCGGCCCACAUUAAGGGAGUGGCAUUAUAGAUGAACAUGAAUAGUUGGAGUCAAGACGCGUUGAGGAGCUGGAAUGAAUGGAACCCAUUGAUGGUGGAUGAAGAAGAGGGAGGAGUCAAGGAUGGAAACAGGGCAUUGGGCUUAGGCACUGAGAUGGAUGGGAGAGAUGAGAUGAACAAGACGCCAUUCACUGAGACAGGAAAGAAGAAGGGAGGAGGAGGUUGUUUUGGAAUUGCAAAAGGUAAACAGUCGAACUAACCAGAUCUUACGGACAUGCCUUUACUCAGUGGUACUUUUAAAAAUAGAAAAACGUGGUAUAUGCUUCAAUCAUUCUUAGAAACUUGCCUUUCCUUAUCUAACAUUUGACAUUAAAUUUGGAUUUGAAAAGAGAAAUAUCAGAAAUAAAGAAACACUUCUAAGCCUUUAAAUUGUGAGGUGUUACGUUAGAUCCUGCAACUGCCACUGUCUCAUGAUAUUAUCAUGCUAAACCGAU
Molecule: non-coding RNA, 4065 nt
Organism: Equus caballus (horse)
Lineage: Eukaryota; Metazoa; Chordata; Mammalia; Perissodactyla; Equidae
Source: RefSeq, a predicted model, not a curated record